RNAcentral lists this ribosomal RNA (253 nucleotides) under uncultured bacterium. RNAcentral describes it as "partial 16S ribosomal RNA". It matches the Rfam family "Bacterial small subunit ribosomal RNA", at positions 524 to 776 of the family's 1533-position model. The record is from RNAcentral.
UACGAAGGGGGCAAGCGUUGUCCGGAUUUAUUGGGCGUAAAGAGCGUGUAGGCGGUUAGGUAGGUCCGUUGUGAAAACUCGAGGCUCAACCUUGAGACGCCGAUGGAAACCAUCUGACUAGAGUCCGGAAGAGGAGAGUGGAAUUCCUGGUGUAGCGGUGAAAUGCGCAGAUAUCAGGAAGAACACCCGUGGCUAAGGCGGCUCUCUAGUACGUGACUGACGCUGAGACGCGAAAGCGUGGGGAGCGAACAGG